Juglans microcarpa x Juglans regia is the source of this 1066-nucleotide RNA transcript. It is a transcript of the gene named adenine phosphoribosyltransferase 5-like, with no coding region annotated. The transcript is spliced from 7 exons. NCBI's taxonomy places the organism in Eukaryota, Viridiplantae, Streptophyta, Magnoliopsida, Fagales, Juglandaceae. The record is from RefSeq and is a predicted model, not a curated record.
GUGACAUGGAGAGAAGCGAGAAUUUCAUCCUGCAACCCAGUUUUGGAGGGAAAAACCCAAAAGCUACUAUUCAACAAGGUUGAUUGGCUGAGUGAGAGAGAGAAAAUUCAAGAAAAUCUUUGCUGAAUCUAUCGGAAAUCUCUUGGAAACCCCAUUCGCCAUUGAAGAGAGGGAAAUCCGUGAGAGAGGGAGAGAUUGAUCAUGUUUGCUGCAGAGAAUGGACUUAGAGGAGACCCAAGGCUUCAAGCCAUCUCCGAAGCCAUUCGAGUCGUUCCUCACUUCCCAAAGCCAGGAAUAAUGUUUCAAGAUAUAACAACGUUGUUGCUGGAUCCCAAGGCGUUCAAGGACACGGUGGAUAUUUUCGUUGAUCGCUACAGAGACAUGGGCAUCUCUGUUGUUGCUGGGGUCGAAGCGAGGGGAUUCAUGUUUGGUCCCUCCAUUGCGUUGGCUAUUGGUGCAAAGUUUGUUCCUUUACGUAAGCCCCGAAAGUUACCAGGUGAAGUGAUUUCUGAAGCUUAUGUCCUGGAGUAUGGAACUGAUUGUCUGGAAAUGCAUGUUGGAGCUGUUCAACUUGGUGAACGUUCAUUGAUCAUUGAUGAUUUGGUAGCUACAGGCGGGACUUUAUCAGCAGCAAUAAGACUUUUAGUUUAUGAAAUGCAAAUAUGCUGUUUAUCUAGAACGUGUGGGGGCUGAAGUGGUUGAAUGUGCAUGCGUUGUUGGGUUGCCUGAGGUGAAGGGACAACGCAGGCUUAAUGGGACCCCACUCUAUAUACUUGUGGAGCCACGCGAAAUAGAAAAUUGUUAUUAAGAUCUGUGGGCUUGAUUCUGCUUGGGCUGACUUAUAGGAAAGAUGAUGCUUGAGCAAACAGGCCAUGAUGAGUUUCUACCGAGUUUUGGCGGAAUUCCAUCAUUUCUUGGAUCGAUUUGUAUAAUUUAUCUAUGCAUGAGAUGUGCAUCUUCUGUAGGCUGUUAUGUGCGAUUUAUAGUUUUGGAACAAGCCUCCUGGUUGAAGAAUUGUUGCCCCGUGAUGUUUGAUUUGUUCUUUUUAAGUCAUUUUUAGUGCCCA